This is a long non-coding RNA of Pan troglodytes (chimpanzee), 2534 nucleotides long. RefSeq lists it as uncharacterized. The transcript is spliced from 2 exons. Lineage: Eukaryota; Metazoa; Chordata; Mammalia; Primates; Hominidae. The record is from RefSeq and is a predicted model, not a curated record.
GUGGAGAGAGAUGGGCUCAGAGAGACGGCUGGGAUGUUGACGCGUACUUCUGUCAGUAACCAGCAGGGUGGCUGCUUAAAGAUGACCGUGUGGAAGCAGAUACCAGGAGUCCUCUCCCAAAGCCUGGCAGCAGCUGACGCCUAUCAGCACCAAGGAACCGACACAGCUCCACCCUGAGCAGGCCAUGCACCUGCCUCUCCAACACCUGUUGGCAGAGCCUUGCCCUCCUCACGUUCAUCCUCACCUCGGCCAACCAUGGUAAGAACACUCAACAUUCACUGAGUACGUACUCUGCACCAGGUACUGUUCAAAACAUAUUAUGUGUAUUAACUCAUCUAAUUCCUGAGCCCCAUGGGAAUGUGCUGGAAGGAGAGAAAUUCUUUGGCCCAGAUUCCCGCAUGGUUUCUAGUCUCUAUUUCUAGCUGUGCUGUAAAGCUUACAUAACCUAAUUUGCAUUAUGGUACUAUUUUUAAAAACCUCCAAAGAUCGCUGCUUCAAAGCAUCAAUGGAAUCUGUUAGUUCCUACCUAAAAUGAUAAUGUGGGAAAGGAUAUCUAUUCUUACAACCAACUCAACUGGAAUUCUUGACUUAAAACAGUCUUUUGGGAAGAGGCUAUUAAGAAAGGAAGGGACUCAUUCUUAUAUAAGUACUAGCUCUGUGCUCUGUAAAUAAGGGCUAGAGAGAAACACAUCAAUAUUGAAACCCACCUCAGCAGUAGUUUCUUGGCUCUGCUGUUGUUAUCCAUUUACCACCCGUCUCCUUUCCAAGACCCCUAAUAACACCGAGAAACCUGUGGUCACUGCACAGCAUGGCGUCAGACUGUAUAGAGUAUGAGUUUGAAUACACAGAACCUUUCUCAUUCUGGAUGAUUCAGAGAUAGCCCCCACCCUCUCUCAGGAGGCACUGGCAUAAGAUGAAUGGGAAUUAGGGGAAGACCAUUCACAGAGCAGGUUGUUUUCAGCUUUAACUGCUCUUAAUGACCCUGGUGUAUAGGGCUCUGGAUUGCUUGAAAUCUAAUUGCGGGCGGGGGUGGGGGGGGGGGGCGGGGAAAGCAGGGGGGAUCUCCUUAGUUCUUUCCUCUCUAACUCACUGCUGAAGAUUUCCCUCCAGUUAUUAAUGAAAUCUAGGAAACAGGGAAAUUAUGGUGAAUGACUGAUUAUAAGGGUGAAACUUUCUCAUCUGUCAUUAAAAAAAAUGUGCUCCGUGUUUAAAUUAACCACUUUGUCCUUUGUUCUACUAUAAAAACUACUUGGAAAGGACCGGAGUAUUUGUUAUGAAUUCAUUUCAUUACGUUCACUUAUUGGACAGAGGUCCAUGAACAUAAACCAGAGUAGGUUUCAGGCUCUCAAAACUGCCAGGGAAAUAUUUUAAAUGAGUGAAUUUCCAAGUGACGCCUAUUUUGGUGAUGUCAGAGGGCCUACAUUAUUAAAUAGUUUAUAAUUAAACUAAUAACUGAGCUAAUAUUCUUUUUGCCACAGUUAACUAAGUAUCUGGUUCCCAAAGUAGGAUAUUUGUAAUAGGCCCAAUUCCAACAACAAGGAGACUGUCAGAAUUAAAAUGCUUCCACUGGUCACAGCCUCUGUUCACUUGUACCCAGAAGAGGACCUGGUACCUAAUAGGCACUGGGCUGUUUCAGCAGGACUGGAUCGCACUCAGUACUAGUCAGCUAUACCUCAUACAACCUUUUAUAGAUGCCAAAGCCACAUUAAAUGUACAUACAGAUUCUGCAUGGAAAAAAACAAGAGUUGUUCCAGCAACUUUAAAGUGAGUCAUCAAAAGAAACUGCUACUUAGAAACAAAUAUGAAACAUGAAAUUCAUUUUAAUCUACAUAUAUCAAAUACAGCCUUAGCACACAACAUCUAACACAAUUAAAUGCAUUUAUGGGACACACCUAAAUGAAGCAAAUCUUUAUUAAAAUGUCUGCCUAACCCUCACAUCUUUACAUGAACUCCAUGAUGGUUGAAUAAGGUGGGAAAUAAAUAAUCUAGCUACCUAACCUGGAAAAGACAGAUGGAUUGCUUUAAGUCUAUUUGGUCUCUGCAGACUCGAUAUUCACCACCAGAGUCUUGCUGAAGUUGGUUCUGCAAAUAAUUAACUUAGCUCAGUCAAUUAUAUACUUUUCCAUAGUUACCAUAAUAUUUUGUUUUUGUUUUUUUUUUCAUUUUCUAUUGCUUUUUUCUAUGGCUUCUUGCUGUUGUUGUAUUAGGGCAUACAACACAGAUCAGAGACUUUCAUUUCUCGGAGAAGUUUUUCUCCUUGAGAAAUUGGCACUUUGAUCCUCAGCUUGUGUAACAGCUUACACAUACGGAUCCUACCAGCACUAUUACCAACCUUGCUGCUUAGGAAAUUCCACUGCUUUGGCCAAAAGAGUGCCCUGUCAUUAAAAUCUUCUUAGAUGAACUGUUCCUAUCACUGAAUUCUUACAUUUAAACAGGUAUGUGUGUGUAAUUUACAUACGUGUUAUAUCCUAAGUUUCUACACACACACACACACACGCACUUAGUGUAAGUGAAAUGUCUGUCUUGAGUAAAAA